UGUGGGAGCGGGCUUGCUCGCGAUAGCAUCACUGCGAUGUGCCUGAUACACGGCGUUGUUUGCAUCGCGAGCAAGCCCGCUCCCACA
RNAcentral lists this non-coding RNA (87 nucleotides) under Pseudomonas psychrophila. The record is from RNAcentral. Lineage: Bacteria; Pseudomonadati; Pseudomonadota; Gammaproteobacteria; Pseudomonadales; Pseudomonadaceae.